Desarmillaria tabescens is the source of this 95-nucleotide non-coding RNA. Lineage: Eukaryota; Fungi; Basidiomycota; Agaricomycetes; Agaricales; Physalacriaceae. The record is from the annotation of a RefSeq genome assembly.
GCCGUCGUAGCGCAAUGGUAGCGCGUCGCUUUCCUACAUCGCAUUGAUUGAAUUGUGUUAGGCGAAGGUUGCGAGUUCGAUCCUCGUCGUCGGUA